Non-coding RNA from Triticum aestivum (bread wheat), 115 nucleotides. NCBI's taxonomy places the organism in Eukaryota, Viridiplantae, Streptophyta, Magnoliopsida, Poales, Poaceae. The record is from Rfam.
CUUAUACUCCCUCCGUUCCGAAUUACUUGUCGCCGGUAUAGAUGUAUCUAGAUGUAUUUUAGUUCUAGAUACAUCCAUUUUUGCGAUAAGUAAUUUGGAACGGAGGGAGUAUCUU